RNAcentral lists this long non-coding RNA (1549 nucleotides) under Olea europaea (common olive). RNAcentral describes it as "long non-coding RNA (OEUR_LNC000248)". The record is from RNAcentral. Lineage: Eukaryota; Viridiplantae; Streptophyta; Magnoliopsida; Lamiales; Oleaceae.
GAGAUACCAAGAUUUUGUGGUCAUUGCUAGUUCAUCUGAGUUUUCAGAAUCUAACGAUAGUCCAGCUUGCAUAUUUUUCAUCUUGUUAUUUUCUUCUUGUAGCCAAUGUUCUAAUUUUUCAAAAUUUUCUGGAUUAUAAGGGUCAAAAAGGUAAGACCAGGGAUCUUGAGGAUUUUGAAGCUGGGAUGUUGCUAGCUCGCAUUAGCAUCAACUUGAACCUUCAUAUGAUACAUUUUCUUUUCCUUUUGAUUUUUUCCUCCUUAACUGUGGAUUGUCUCUUCCAGUGUAGAAUAUACUAGUAAGGAUGUUUUCAUUCAACACUUUUCAUAACCUUUCUCUGAGUUGUUGUAGCUCAAGGGCGUUUUCUGAGUAUUUGGAUGUGUGACCUAAGCUUUAUGUUGGCCUUCGUGGAUACAAUUGAUUUCAAAAGUUGUCAAGGUGAUAAUCAUUAGGAGGAACAUAGUUCAUUGCCAAUAUUUUCCAUGGUUAGGCAAAAUUUUUGAAUGUAUUAUUUGGUUGAAUUCUGUCAUUUUUCUUCCGGAAUGUUCUAAAUUUUUAAAGAUAUUGUUUGGUUGAAUUCUGACAUAUUGUCUGACAACCAUGUAUUGGUAUUUCAGCAUGAGUUCUUUUGUAACAACCCAGGCUUUGUGUCGAAGCUUUAUGCACUGUCCACUAUAGGAAAGCUUGAGUCCAUCUUAUUCCCUUACAGAUUUCUAUCAUAUUCCCAGGAUUCGAACACAUGACCUUUCCUUAAGAGAGAUUUAAGUUGAGUCCUGGUACUAAUUGAAAGUGAACGGCUUCGACGCAGAGAUUGGAUCAUUACACUUUUGAUCUUGAAUGGAUUGUCCUGUUCCUCAUCAGGUUUUGAAGUUCAAGAGAUAAAUUUUAGAUUGGAGGAUUUUGUGAGGAUAUAGUUGAGGGCGGAUUGAGCAUCGGAUGAUAGCAAUCUGUAAUUGAAUGCGAGGUAUUGUUCUGGAGAAUAAAUCGACUAAGAUAUUAGAUUUGCCUUUGAUAUGUUUGACUUCAAAGUUAAAAUUGAAAAAUCAUUCUACCCAUUCCAAGAGCUGUGAGUUUGGAAUUUGUUUCUUUAUGAAGUUCACAUUUGAGGAAAUGCCAUAAUGUCCAUUUCAACUAGAAAUUUAUGACCGUUGGAAUUUCUCAGUUUCUCUUUUCACUGCAAGGAUUUCUUUGAAUUUAGAGUCGUAAUAUUUUUCAGAUUCCUUGAACAUAGCACUUUUUGUACCAUAAAUUCUCCUUUCACCAUCCUUUUGUUCUAGAAUUACUGCGUAUAUAUUAUUUGCAUCUGUCUGUAAAAUUCUCCUUCCCUCAGUAAGGACUUGUAAUUCUAAAAGAUUAUUGAUUCUGUUUUUGAUCUUCUUAAUAACCUGAGUCUGUUUGUAUGACCACUGUAGAUUAUUGUUCUUCAACAUGUCUUGUAGAUGUCUUAUAAUGGGGGCUAGUUGCUUAAAGAAGUUAAUCUUAUAAUUCACAAUCCCAAUAAACUAUUGGACUUGUUGUCUAGUCAAAUUUUCACCAGGAAACUUGAGAA